AUACGGAGGGUGCUAGCGUUGUUCGGAAUUACUGGGCGUAAAGCGCACGUAGGCGGAUUAAAAAGUUAGAGGUGAAAUCCCAGGGCUUAACCCUGGAACUGCCUUUAAAACUAGUAGUCUAGAGUUCGAGAGAGGUGAGUGGAAUUCCAAGUGUAGAGGUGAAAUUCGUAGAUAUUUGGAGGAACACCAGUGGCGAAGGCGGCUCACUGGCUCGAUACUGACGCUGAGGUGCGAAAGCGUGGGGAGCAAACAGGAUUAGAAACCCCAGUAGUCC
Molecule: ribosomal RNA, 274 nt
Filed under: uncultured bacterium
Lineage: Bacteria
Description: partial 16S ribosomal RNA
Rfam family: Bacterial small subunit ribosomal RNA
Source: RNAcentral